Molecule: long non-coding RNA, 434 nt
Filed under: Dromaius novaehollandiae (emu)
Lineage: Eukaryota; Metazoa; Chordata; Aves; Casuariiformes; Dromaiidae
Description: lncRNA (ENSDNVG00000016742.1)
Source: RNAcentral
AAAGGACAAGCUUUUGAGCUGGAAUCUGCGUCAUUUUUCAGACAUUUCCAAUGAGGUGUGUGGUAAGGUAUGUCUUCCUCAUCUUUCUCUUUCCUCCUGUUAAAAUGUAACGCUUGAAUUUCUUUAGACUUUCUUUACUGGAGAGGUACCUCAAUGUGUGAACACUCGUGUGGGCUUCACUGUUCCUUGGGCAGAAGUUUUAGCCCAGAUAAGGGCCAUUGGAGGAGGCCUGACAAGAAUGUCGACCCUCUGCUCUCCUUGAUCAAGUGCCUUUCAGCAGAUUUUUCACGACAGAAUAAUAGUUGUCUGUCUAUCUGAUGAAGAUUGGUUUUGAAAUGCAUCCCAUCUCUGACUGGAGGGAAUGUGGCCAGGACAAGAGGCUUCCAGGGUUAAAAGCAGAUGAGUGUCUAUCCGAGUGAGUAUCCUCAAGUGUU